This 280-nucleotide ribosomal RNA is filed under the name uncultured bacterium. RNAcentral's name for it is "partial 16S ribosomal RNA". It matches the Rfam family "Bacterial small subunit ribosomal RNA", at positions 338 to 616 of the family's 1533-position model. The record is from RNAcentral.
CCUACGGGUGGCAGCAGUGAGGAAUAUUGCGCAAUGGCCGAAAGGCUGACGCAGCGACGCCGCGUGAAGGAUGAAGUCCGUUAGGAUGUAAACUUCUUUUGCAGGGGAUGAAUGUCUCGAAUUCAUUCGGGAUUGACCGUACCCUGCGAAUAAGGAUCGGCCAACUACGUGCCAGCAGCCGCGGUAAUACGUAGGAUCCGAGCGUUGUCCGGAAUUACUGGGUGUAAAGGGCGUGUAGGUGGGUUUCCAAGUCGGUGGUGAAAGCCUGCAGCUUAACUGC